RNAcentral lists this long non-coding RNA (986 nucleotides) under Prunus persica (peach). RNAcentral describes it as "long non-coding RNA (PPER_LNC004525)". Lineage: Eukaryota; Viridiplantae; Streptophyta; Magnoliopsida; Rosales; Rosaceae. The record is from RNAcentral.
CUUAUCUACUUACAUCUCCUCUAUGCAUGGAAAAACAACAUCAAAAUUCACUCGUGCGCUCAUAGCUCAUAUUGGAAUUUCGUCAAACACUUGAUGUGCGCAACUUAAAAUAGACCCAACUUUUUGCUGGAAAAACAACCGACUAUGCAAGAUAGAAAACAACCGACUAUUCAGCGUCUUUGUAGCAGUUUUAUUUCUUGUUCUUGGCACUGGGUCCCUCGAGGGGCAAACCGAGCAGCGGAUGCUGCAGCUCAGCGAGCUAGGCGGAGGAUGUGCGAUGAAGUUUGGGCUUCCAGCCCCCCAUCCUCUCUGGUUUUUGUGUUGCAAGCUGAUGGUCUUCCUUGCCCCCCGCGGUGCUAGGGAGUUUUGUGCUGGAGGCGGAUGGGCUCCCCUUUUGGAGGCGUCAUAGUUACUGGUCUCUAGCCUUGUUUCUUCUAGCAGUUGUGCGUUUUCUUGCUGUUGCUGUUGUUGUUUCCUUCUCUUUCUACCUUUGGUUUUUUGUCUGUUUCUCCCCUUGUUGUCUGUCUUUCGUGUUUGAAUGAAAGUUUCUAUUGACCAAAAAAAAAAAAAAAUGCAAGAUAGAAAACAACGUUAAUGUGAAAAUGAAAACAUAACUGGAAAAAAAAAAUUUGAAACUGAUUGCUACACAAAUUUAUACCAAUACAGAUAAUGAAUGGUACUGAUAAGAACGCAUGAUUUGGGGUAGAUGAAAAUGCAUAAUUUGGGAUAGAUAGAUGAAAAGCUGAUAAGAACGGAGACAAUAACACAUAAAUUACAUGUGUUAUGCAGGCAUACCAGUCAAAGUUUAAGACGUCGGCGCUGGAAUCGUUCGCAGUUAGUGUCGUCUUCAUUUUGUGACUAGUUUGAAAAAUUGAAUGUACCUAUGGACCCUAAUUUUGAAUGGCAGAGACAUUGGAGGCAAUCUAACCUUAGCGAAUAUGUGGUUUUCAAUGAUGGACAUGAAGCAAGGCUGAAAUGGAGGUAUA